ACGGAGGGUGCAAGCGUUGUUCGGAUUUACUGGGCGUAAAGGGCGCGUAGGCGGUCUUAUAAGCCAGAUGUGAAAGCCCACGGCUCAACCGUGGAAGUGCAUCUGGAACUGUGAGACUUGAGUAUGGGAGAGGAAAGUGGAAUUCCCGGUGUAGAGGUGAAAUUCGUAGAUAUCGGGAGGAAUACCGGUGGCGAAGGCGACUUUCUGGACCAAUACUGACGCUGAGGCGCGAAAGCGUGGGUAGCAAACAGGAUUAGAUACCCUGGUAGUCCACAGCUGUAAACGAUGAUAACUAGGUAUAGGGGGUGUUGACCCCUUCUGUGCCGUAGCUAACGCAUUAAGUUAUCCGCCUGGGGAGUACGGUCGCAAGAUUA
RNAcentral lists this ribosomal RNA (374 nucleotides) under uncultured bacterium. RNAcentral describes it as "bacterial SSU rRNA". It matches the Rfam family "Bacterial small subunit ribosomal RNA", at positions 525 to 896 of the family's 1533-position model. The record is from RNAcentral.